CCUACGGGCGGCAGCAGUGGGGAAUAUUGGACAAUGGGGGGAACCCUGAUCCAGCCAUGCCGCGUGUGUGAAGAAGGCCCUCGGGUUGUAAAGCACUUUCAGUGAGGAAGAACGCCUGGUGGUUAAUACCCAUCAGGAAAGACAUCACUCACAGAAGAAGCACCGGCUAACUCCGUGCCAGCAGCCGCGGUAAUACGGAGGGUGCGAGCGUUAAUCGGAAUUACUGGGCGUAAAGCGCGCGUAGGUGGCUUGAUAAGCCGGUUGUGAAAGCCCCGGGCUCAACCUGGGAACGGCAUCCGGAACUGUCAGGCUAGAGUGCAGGAGAGGAAGGUAGAAUUCCCGGUGUAGCGGUGAAAUGCGUAGAGAUCGGGAGGAAUACCAGUGGCGAAGGCGGCCUUCUGGACUGACACUGACACUGAGGUGCGAAAGCGUGGGUAGCAAACAGGAUUAGAUACCCGAGUAGUC
Molecule: ribosomal RNA, 465 nt
Filed under: Vreelandella stevensii
Lineage: Bacteria; Pseudomonadati; Pseudomonadota; Gammaproteobacteria; Oceanospirillales; Halomonadaceae
Description: partial 16S ribosomal RNA
Rfam family: Bacterial small subunit ribosomal RNA
Source: RNAcentral